AGAAAACCAGUCUGCUUCCCACAAUUCAGAUAGGAAAGUGGUCAAAAAUGAGGAUUAAAGAAAGCUAAGCAGAGUCGGGCCUGGUUAGUACUUGGAUAGGAGACCACCUAGGAAGACCAGGUGCU
RNAcentral lists this ribosomal RNA (125 nucleotides) under Pteropus vampyrus (large flying fox). The record is from RNAcentral. Lineage: Eukaryota; Metazoa; Chordata; Mammalia; Chiroptera; Pteropodidae.